CAUGAAUUUCUAUAAUACUUUAUAAUUGAUGAAACAUGUUUUUUUAUUUUCAGUAUUAUGGCAAGUCCAAAUAAUUCAAUCAUCUUCUUUUUAGAAACCCAAUUUAAUUCCAUUUUUCCUACAUAACAUCUUAAAUACUUGGAAAUAUCUCUCCCAUCAAAUAGGUCAAUCUUGCUAACCAUCGCUUGUAAUGCUUUGGUUGCCAAAACCUCUGUGUGAU
This 220-nucleotide long non-coding RNA is filed under the name Physcomitrium patens. RNAcentral's name for it is "long non-coding RNA (PPAT_LNC014254)". The record is from RNAcentral. Lineage: Eukaryota; Viridiplantae; Streptophyta; Bryopsida; Funariales; Funariaceae.